GGGUUCCUAGCUCAGCUGGUUAGAGCGGCUGGUUUACACCCAGUAGGUCGGGGGUUCGAAUCCCUCGGGACCCA
RNAcentral lists this transfer RNA (74 nucleotides) under Chlorobium sp. It matches the Rfam family "tRNA". Rfam says of the family: Transfer RNA (tRNA) molecules are approximately 80 nucleotides in length. Their secondary structure includes four short double-helical elements and three loops (D, anti-codon, and T loops). The record is from Rfam by way of RNAcentral. Lineage: Bacteria; Pseudomonadati; Chlorobiota; Chlorobiia; Chlorobiales; Chlorobiaceae.